This 467-nucleotide ribosomal RNA is filed under the name uncultured bacterium. Its description in RNAcentral is "bacterial SSU rRNA". It matches the Rfam family "Bacterial small subunit ribosomal RNA", at positions 355 to 825 of the family's 1533-position model. The record is from RNAcentral.
UGAGGAAUAUUGGACAAUGGGCGCAAGCCUGAUCCAGCCAUGCCGCGUGCAGGAUGACGGUCCUAUGGAUUGUAAACUGCUUUUGUACAGGAAGAAACAGUUCUACGUGUAGAACCUUGACGGUACUGUAAGAAUAAGGAUCGGCUAACUCCGUGCCAGCAGCCGCGGUAAUACGGAGGAUCCAAGCGUUAUCCGGAAUCAUUGGGUUUAAAGGGUCCGUAGGCGGUUAGAUAAGUCAGUGGUGAAAGCCCAUCGCUCAACGGUGGAACGGCCAUUGAUACUGUCUGACUUGAAUUAUUAGGAAGUAACUAGAAUAUGUAGUGUAGCGGUGAAAUGCUUAGAGAUUACAUGGAAUACCAAUUGCGAAGGCAGGUUACUACUAAUGGAUUGACGCUCACACACGAAAGCUAGGGUAGCGAAGAGGAUUAGAUACCCAAGUAGUCCCUGAGCGGGCUGGCAAGGCGCAU